Drosophila simulans is the source of this 7433-nucleotide RNA transcript. It is a transcript of the gene named histone-lysine N-methyltransferase EHMT2, with no coding region annotated. The record is from RefSeq and is a predicted model, not a curated record. NCBI's taxonomy places the organism in Eukaryota, Metazoa, Arthropoda, Insecta, Diptera, Drosophilidae. The transcript has 11 exons.
UAGUUGUUGUGUUGUUGCUGUUCUUUGCGGAUAACAGUUUUCAGCGCGGAGUGCGUGCGUGUGCGUGCGUCGAAAACGUAGUUCUAAAUCGGUGUCAAAAUAGUUGUAAAUUCAGAACAGCAAAGCAACAACAAAGGCUGCUGCUUGCACGACCGAUGCACGAAUCUUAUCGGGAAAAAUAGGGUUCUGAAACCGAAAUUUUGUUUUUAUUUGCCUUACGAUGGAAUAUUGACUGUGAAAUCGUAAAUCGAAGAAACUAAUACGCCAAGUAAGCAAAUAGUGACAAUUAAGGCAAGAUGACGGACUUUGUUGAGCUGAUGAACAGCAUGUCUAGUACAUUCAAUAGCGACUGUGCUACUUCAACAGCGGAGGGUGGUACUUUGCUUAAUAUGAAUUUGGCGGAAGACAAAACCCUCAAGUGGCGUAAUUUGGCCAAUAACCAGUUCGCUAGUAAAGAAAAGAAACACAAGGACAAGGAGGAGGAGCGCAAGGAGGCAAGGAAUCAAGAGGAAAUCGAAGACAUCAAAGCACUUUUGGCAGAUGUUGUCGAUGCGGCCGCUGUCAAGCUGGAAGAAGAAGAAGCGCAGAAUGCAGAAAAAGUCGAACAACAUACAAAAAGCGAAAAAGAGGAAGAAGGUAGGAAGGAAAUGGAGUACGAUCAAGAUGUCGCAAAACAAUACUCCGAAAAGGAAGAAAAGCAGAAUGGCAAAGCAACAUCCAUAACAGUAAAGAUGGAAAGCAACGAGCGUGCAGAGAAACACGCAACGGAAAUUGCAACGACGUCGACAGAUAGAUGGCAAAACGAAAGCUUUAAAACUGAGCAGCAAAAUAAGAAAGCUGCUGAGAAAGAAGAAGACACACUAGCGGCAACACAAAAAUCGGAUGCAAAUGCAGAUCCAGGGACAAAAACAAGAAUUGAGGCAGCAGUAGCAUCUCCACUUGUUGUUAGUUCUGCUAGCGUUAAACUCGCUGCUGACGCAACCAACCAAAUGCGAGCAGCGACGUCGACAGGGGCAGCGACAUUAGCUGAUAAAAAUGUACAAGUUUCUCCCGGUGGAACGCGUCGGUCUCGAAGAGCACCCAGACCCCCAGACACGCCCACUUCAGUUACUGAUGAACAUGUUCAGGUGGAGAAUAAAAAAUUCGGAAAGUCGGAGCAGUAUACGGAUUGUAGUAGCCAUCUGGAGAGGUUCACACUGGACGAUAAUACUGCUAUUGUCAGACUGCAGUUGAAGAGUGAACUUGACAAACCGUCAUCGACUACAUUAUCGCCUGAGGAAAACUCGGCUCCUGCUCCGAAGCGAGGAAGGGGUCGAGCCAGGAAAAUAAGACCCGAUGCCGAGGUGGAAACCAGUGAGGUUAUUUUACCCUGCGAGGAUUCAUUAGGGGAGAAGAAACCAGGACGCAAAAGGAAACUCCCGGAUGAACCGAUAGAUCAGCAGCAACUAAGCGACUUUGUUGUGGUAAAAACAGAGCAGGAGGAAUUGGGUGAAGCUCCCUUGGGAGAUGUCAAGAGAAUGCGACGUAGUGUCCGUUUGGGCAAUCGAUUACAUGCCGAUGGAAGCCCUUGGGAGGAGGUAAAGACAGAGGCACUUCCCUCUCAGCCUUCUGCAGAGCUUUCCUUGGCGGAGGUAACUUCUGAGGUCUUGCCACUAGCUGUCUUAGAUGAGAAGACCCCACCCAAAAAGCGAGGGCGGAAGGCAAAAACGCCCGGUGUGAAGUUAGAAUCUGAAACAUCCUGCGUGCUACCGUUUGCUAAUGGCAACAAGAAAACGAAUUCCUCUGGUGGAUCCGAACUUCAGCUGCCCAAGCGUUCAAAAAGACGAAUAAAACCAACGCCAAAGAUAUUAGAAAAUGACGAACUGCGCUGUGAGUUCGAAACGAAGCACAUUGAACGUAUGACCCACUGGGAGAGUGCUGCAGCAGUAGAUGGGGAUUUUGAAACGCCAACAACAGGCGGUAAUGGGUCGAAUUCCUCGACCUCAAGGCAAAAGAGCGACAAGUCCGACGGGAGCAACUUCGAAGGUGGUCCAGGACAUCCUGCAGGCACAAGUGCCAUAAAGAAAAGACUGUUUUCAAAGUCCCAGCGGGACAUUGAGAACUAUGGCGCAGCAAUGCUAGCCAAAAGUAAGUUACGUCCGUGUCCGGACGUCGAACAAUUUCUAAGCGACAUCAAGGCAUCGCGAAUUAAUGCGAAUCGAUCACCAGAAGAAAGGAAAUUGAACAAAAAACAGCAACGAAAACUGGCCAAACAAAAGGAAAAGCACCUAAAGCAUUUGGGACUGCAAAAAAAUCACAGAGAUGAGCCUUCGGAUAACGACAGUUCCAAUACGGACAAUGAAUUCUUACCUACUACAAGAGUGCAAGUGGGAAAACCAAGUGUUACUUUGAGAGUGAGGAAUAGUGUUACCAAGGAGCUUCCCACAACAGCCACUUUAAAAUCACUCCGGAAUCCAGUCGUGCAAGCAGCCAAACUCAAGAGAAGGAUAUGUGCAAGAGCCACCGGUGAAGUUACUGAGGCAGCCCGAGCAAGUGUUUCAAUUUCUGCACUGGAUGCGGAGCAGCUUCACUCGUUGAACACUUCUAUUCAAGCUGAUGUUACCCCGAUAAGAGACUUAGAUAUGAGGCCCAGCACCUCCAGAGUGGCAAAGUUUAUUUGUCUAUGUCAGAAGCCUUCCCAGUACUAUGCCAGGAAUGCCCCGGACUCAUCAUACUGCUGUGCCAUCGAUCACAUCGACGAACAAAAAAUUGGCUGCUGCAACGAGCUGUCCUCGGAGGUUCACAAUCUACUCAGACCCAGCCAACGCGUGAGCUAUAUGAUCCUAUGCGACGAGCACAAAAAGCGCCUACAAUCCCACAACUGCUGCGCAGGAUGUGGCAUAUUUUGUACACAGGGAAAAUUUGUGCUAUGCAAGCAGCAGCACUUCUUUCAUCCCGAUUGUGCCCAGCGAUUUAUUCUAAACACUUCGUACGAGAAGGAACUCGUCGAUGAGGAAGAUCAGGGCGUCAAAUUCAGCAGCCCUGUGUUGGUGCUCAAGUGCCCCCACUGCGGAUUAGAUACACCAGAACGGACCUCCACGGUGACCAUGAAGUGUCAGUCCCUGCCUGUCUUUCUGCGCACCCAAAAAUACAAGAUAAAACCCGCUAGGUUGACAACCUCUUCGCAUCUAACCCAAUUUGGAACAGUUGGGAAAGCAAAUACUCCAGGAGCCACGGCCAGAAACAAUGGGGGACCAUCCACCGCCGUAACCUUAAGCGCGGCAUUAAGUCCUGCUUCAAAAACAAAUGGAGCCCAGAGUGGCAGGGCGGGCACCUCCAAUUCUAGCUCCGGACAUGCUCUUAAUUCGAUCAACUUUGCUCAACUUAUACCCGAGUCCGUAAUGAAUGUAGUGCUGCGGGGCCAUGUGGUUUCUGCUAGUGGUCGCGUGACCACAGAGUUUACGCCGCGGGAUAUGUACUAUGCAGUCCAAAACGAUGACUUGGAGCGUGUAGCGGAGAUUCUGGCUGCCGACUUCAACGUGCUGACUCCUAUACGGGAGUACCUAAAUGGCACCUGCCUGCAUUUGGUGGCCCACUCGGGCACACUUCAGAUGGCAUAUCUGCUGCUCUGCAAAGGAGCAAGCUCACCGGAUUUCGUUAACAUUGUGGAUUAUGAACUGCGGACUGCUUUAAUGUGUGCCGUGAUGAACGAGAAGUGCGACAUGCUGAAUCUAUUUCUUCAAUGUGGUGCGGAUGUGGCCAUUAAGGGUCCCGAUGGUAAGACCAGUCUGCAUAUUGCUGCCCAGUUAGGCAACUUGGAAGCCACACAGUUGAUUGUAGACAGCUAUCGAACUUCUCGAAAUAUUACCAGUUUUUUAAGUUUCAUUGAUGCCCAGGAUGAAGGCGGUUGGACGGCCAUGGUCUGGGCAGCAGAGCUGGGGCACACGGAUAUAGUUAGGUUGGCUUCUCUGCCCCAAGGGGUUCUCUUAAAGCUGAUUAAUAUUUUUCCCUUCAUUAGCUUCCUGCUUAACCAGGAUGCUGAUCCAAACAUAUGCGACAAUGACAACAAUACCGUGCUGCACUGGUCUACGCUGCACAAUGAUGGUCUGGACACGAUUACAGUACUGCUGCAGUCAGGGGCGGACUGCAAUGUACAGAAUGUGGAGGGCGACACGCCUUUGCACAUUGCUUGCCGUCAUUCUGUCACCCGCAUGUGCAUUGCGUUAAUAGCUAAUGGAGCCGAUCUAAUGAUUAAGAACAAGGCGGAACAGCUGCCCUUUGAUUGCAUUCCGAAUGAGGAGUCUGAGUGCGGUCGCACUGUAGGUUUUAAUAUGCAAAUGCGUAGUUUCAGGCCUUUGGGCCUCCGUACCUUUGUGGUAUGUGCAGAUGCGUCGAAUGGCAGGGAGGCACGACCAAUCCAGGUGGUUCGCAACGAACUGGCAAUGUCUGAAAAUGAGGAUGAGGCCGACUCGCUUAUGUGGCCGGAUUUUCGCUACGUAACACAAUGCAUCAUCCAGCAAAACUCAGUGCAGAUUGACCGACGCGUUUCUCAAAUGCGCAUAUGCUCCUGCCUGGAUAGUUGCAGUAGCGAUCGGUGUCAGUGCAAUGGGGCCUCCUCGCAGAAUUGGUACACGGCAGAAAGUCGUCUAACCGCCGACUUUAACUACGAGGAUCCUGCGGUAAUCUUCGAAUGCAACGACGUCUGCGGUUGCAAUCAGCUCUCCUGCAAAAACCGCGUGGUCCAGAAUGGUACACGGACACCACUACAAAUUGUCGAGUGCGAGGAUCAGGCGAAGGGCUGGGGAGUACGGGCGCUGGCCAAUGUGCCCAAAGGCACUUUUGUGGCCAGUUAUACGGGUGAAAUUUUGACCGCGAUGGAGGCAGAUCGACGCACCGAUGACAGCUACUACUUUGACCUAGACAACGGGCACUGCAUCGAUGCUAACUAUUAUGGAAAUGUAACCCGGUUUUUUAACCACUCGUGUGAACCGAAUGUUUUGCCCGUUCGUGUUUUCUACGAGCAUCAGGACUACAGAUUCCCUAAGAUCGCCUUUUUUUCCUGCCGUGACAUCGAUGCCGGAGAGGAAAUAUGCUUUGACUACGGAGAAAAAUUCUGGCGCGUGGAACAUCGCUCCUGUGUGGGAUGUCGAUGCCUGUCAGCAACCUGCAAGUACGCCUCCCAAUCCUCAAGCACAAAUGCCUCGCCCACGGAUGCAACAACAGCACCGGAAAAUGAAACGGGAACGCUGUCGUCUACAAAUACGGAGAAAAUUGGACAGGCGUAGGAUAAAACCUCCUAAACUUGAAAUGAUUGCAGAUUUUACAGUCUCAUCCGACAAAUAAAUCCCCACCUAAACCAUCAGCAACCAGAUAAGCCAGACAUCUGAAAUCGCAGCAGCCCCAUAUUCGAUAACGAUAUAAACAAUGAAUCGUUAUCGAAGCCCGUCCGGGCCUUUCUUCUUUGACUGCCAAAUGUUUCGUGGUUAACAACUUUUUAUCUAUUUUUACAUAUACAAAUAGUGUUUGUUUUUUUUUUUAAUUUUGUUUGAAUUGUAUUAAUUUUUGUACGCCUUAUUAAUAAUGUUUUUAUUAUUAGUAACUGUAAAACCAAAUUAGUUUAUACUUCCUGCGCGAAACAAACUAAAUAAGAAGGGCAUAUCAAAAUUGCUUCCCGACAUUGUGGGUUUGCUUGUUUCUGGAGCGUAAAAGUUUCAAACUUUAAAUUAGGCUUGGACAUUACCAGGCAUAAAAUAGAAUUGUAAUGGCGGAAAAGACCAUCUAGUCAUAAGAAUGAGGGAGAAAAAGUAUUUAAAAAGAAAAGAGAAAAAAAAUUUUUUUAAUAGAAGUAGUCUGCUUUUUUUAAAUUUGUAUGAGCAUGCUCCAGAAUACGUAAAUACGUGAUACGUAAAAAGUAAUUUGUUUGAUUUUACCGUUAACCAUGAAAAUUAGACCAUUUAAAUUGACCUGUAAUGGGCAUCUAAAUGUUACUAGAAACCAAAAGUAAAGGAGGAAUUAUUUAGCAAAAAAACAUUGUCAUAUAAUGGAUAACACAUAUAUGUACAUGUUUUGUGCAGGGUGAAGUACUGACACAUACCCCCAAUUUGAUUACCACUCUACCAAUCCAAUUAAAUCUGGAAUCUUUAUCAAGUAUAAAAAUUUUUCAGUUUGCUAAGCAAGCCAAGCCACAAGUGCCUAAAAGAAAAUUAUUUCUUACCCGGUUGCCCCUUAGGAAAACCCUAAUUUUUCUAUAAAGCAAUAUAGUUGUAUAUCGAAACUAUCUAUCCGCUUUCACAAUUCAAUUUGGGACAGAACUCUAGACCCAAGACUGUAAACGUUAACAUGGGGCUUGCAUGUGUAAUUAACUUUAUCUGUUUAAAACGACAACAUGUAAUUUAAGUCAUAGGUCAUCGAAAGGCUCUUCUUUAUUUUUCUGUUGGCAUUUGUAUCCGUAUUUAUGUACCUAACGACAAGUGUCAUGAAAAAAAUAUAUUUAUACAGUGCAGUGUCCCUUGGCGGUAUUAACUGUUACGGCUGACAGUUUAAUGCCAUCUUAAUGCAUUUGUGUUCUUAAGUUUUGUUUUUCUUUUGCAAUCAAACUUGUAAGUUUUACUCAUAAUUGGAAGAAUAGGCAUGCUAGAAGUAAUUUUUCGAUUGCAGCUACGUUAUUGUUUAACCAUAAAAUAUUGAAUUGAUUAAAUUCGCCAUAAAGAGCACGGCAGAAACGGUGCGAACAAUAAAAAAAUAUUAUCGUGUGCAGUUAAGAUUGACUUUUUAAUGCGGCUUCAUUUUUGGGUCGGUGUCUACGAUUUGAUCAAGGGCUUAAAAUUUUUUGUCUUUAUACUACGAAAUAACACACAGAUUUUGUAAAGGCUUAACAUAAAAUUUGAGCGCCCAAUCAUCCGCCCCUGCAGAGUUGCCACACGUUGUUACACUAGUUAUCGAAACGAACAGCUGAUUUUUGUUUUGUAAUAUUUGAGCGUUUGACAAGUUGAACUUCGAACGGAAAUCUAUUAUAGCCUCAAUUGACAAGACCAUCAAAUAAUCAUUGGAAAACAACUUGAGAGAUGAGUUUUCCAGACAAGGCGGAGCGCACAAAGUGCUGGAACAACCGGGACGAGUAUUGGAAGUGUUUAGAGGAGUACGCCCCAAAGCACAGUUCUACCAGUGGGGAAAAGGUACCAACCCCCUGCCAGAGUCUUCGCAAAUCAUUUGAGCAAUCCUGCCCUGGUCAAUGGGUAAAGCAUUUCGACCGCAAGCGUACUUAUGACCAGUUUAAGGAAAAAAUGGCCAAGGGUUAUGAUCCCUUGGAGGACCGUACGAAGGCCGAAAAGCAAGCCAAUUGACCCUUAGCCCGCCAAGGUUUCUAGGAGCACUGUUGAUCAGCUUAUACCUCUGUUUGUGUACUUUUUUAUGGUAAAUAAAUAAACUGUAUAGUAACAUACAAACAAACCACA